UACGUAGGGAGCGAGCGUUGUCCGGAAUCAUUGGGCGUAAAGGGCGCGUAGGCGGCCUGCUAAGUCAAAUGUGAAAUACAGCGGCUUAACCGCUGGGCUGCGUUUGAAACUGGCAGGCUUGAGUACAGGAGAGGAGAGUGGAAUUCCUGGUGUAGUGGUGAAAUACGUAGAUAUCAGGAAGAACAUCGGUGGCGAAGGCGGCUCUCUGGCCAUGUACUGACGCUGAGGCGCGAAAGCGUGGGGAGCAAACAGG
RNAcentral lists this ribosomal RNA (253 nucleotides) under uncultured bacterium. RNAcentral's name for it is "partial 16S ribosomal RNA". It matches the Rfam family "Bacterial small subunit ribosomal RNA", at positions 524 to 776 of the family's 1533-position model. The record is from RNAcentral.